UAGAGCUCUAAAGAGUCCUGAUAUGUUCUGUGUAUAGAAAGCUAUUUAUAUGGCUUUGUUUGAAGAUCCUUUGGUGGCUUUCAGACUCUGUUCUGUUUACAUAAAAUUAUACAUAUCUUCUGACAUCUAGAAUAUGAAGCGACCUCCAUAUCAGAAGAUGGAUUUGGAAGGAAGGAGCAGGAUGAAGGAAUUUAGGGCCAGAAUAUUACCAUCAUCUAAGUAGCUGAUGUGGCCUGCCUUUACUAUAGGCUAUUGACAUUGUGCUAGGGGCCAAAGUGUGGCCCCCACCCUUCUAGAGAGGCAUCUGCUGUGGUUUGUAUAGAUGGCAAUGGAAGCUGAAAGCGCAUUCCAGGAUGACCCACCAUUUCAGAGUUUGCAAUAUUCCAAGAGGAACUACUAAAAGGCUGGACUGGCAAUCUACACUGAGCAAACCCACAGCUGUAAUGGUCUUGUGUGCAACCUUGUGAGAGGAAUUACUAAAUAACAAGAUGCUACCAGUCCCAACUGAGAUUACAUUCUGUGAGCUGGCUGAAUUGGGACAUGGACAAACUUUAAGACUAACUGCCGGAUUGUCUGUUUUCUUCUUUCUGGUAAAUGGAUUGCUGAAUUGUUUGUCUUCUUCUCUGAAGCAUUCAGGAUUGCUCUUAUGUGUAUAAUCCUGCUCAUUAGUUUGAGCUGCAAUAUUUUUUAAAAAAUUUAAAUUGAUGCCCAAUGACUGGCACCAAGCAACUACGAGCUGUAGAUGACUCUAGUUGCUUUUGGGACUGAGCUGUGAUCAGCCAAUCAUCAAGUUAUAGGUAGAUGGAAACAUUUUGAUAUCUCGAGAUACUAUCACAACAGUCAUAUUUCAUAAACACCCUUGAUAUGGUUGAAUGUCCAAAUGGAAGAACUUUGUAUUGGAAAACCUAGUUGCCGACCAGGAAACAGAGACACCUCUUUGUGCAGAGUUCUUCUUUGAAUGUAGAAAUAAGCAUCUUUGAUAUCCAUUGCAAUAAACCAGUUUUCAUUUAGAAUCAGUGGCAGUUUGAGUCAGUCUCCUUCUAGCUGUGACAUUAUUGGUCACAUAUGGCAAAGGGCAUAUAUACUUCCCAGUGGCAUAGGGAAAGCAUAGGCAGCCUGUGUUCAGGCCACACACACACCCAACCCAGUGG
Hemicordylus capensis (graceful crag lizard) is the source of this 1151-nucleotide long non-coding RNA. RefSeq lists it as uncharacterized. NCBI's taxonomy places the organism in Eukaryota, Metazoa, Chordata, Lepidosauria, Squamata, Cordylidae. The record is from RefSeq and is a predicted model, not a curated record. The transcript has 3 exons.